AACGUAGGAGGCGAGCGUUAUCCGGAUUUACUGGGUGUAAAGCGCGUGCAGGCGGUUUGCUAAGUUGGGUGUGAAAGCUCCUGGCUCAACUGGGAGAGGUCGCUCAAGACUGGCAGACUGGAGAGCAGUAGGGGAAGGUGGAAUUCCGGGUGUAGUGGUGAAAUGCGUAGAUAUCCGGAGGAACACCAGUGGCGAAAGCGGCCUUCUGGACUGCAUCUGACGCUCAGACGCGAAAGCUAGGGUAGCAAACGGG
RNAcentral lists this ribosomal RNA (253 nucleotides) under uncultured bacterium. RNAcentral's name for it is "partial 16S ribosomal RNA". It matches the Rfam family "Bacterial small subunit ribosomal RNA", at positions 524 to 776 of the family's 1533-position model. The record is from RNAcentral.